GAGUGCUUGGGGCGGUAGCCUGAUGCAGCAACGCCGCGUGAGGGAUGACGGCCUUCGGGUUGUAAACCUCUUUUAGCAGGGAAGAAGCGAAAGUGACGGUACCUGCAGAAAAAGCGCCGGCUAACUACGUGCCAGCAGCCGCGGUAAUACGUAGGGCGCAAGCGUUAUCCGGAAUUAUUGGGCGUAAAGAGCUCGUAGGCGGUUUGUCGCGUCUGCUGUGAAAUCCCGAGGCUCAACCUCGGGUCUGCAGUGGGUACGGGCAGACUAGAGUGCGGUAGGGGAGAUUGGAAUUCCUGGUGUAGCGGUGGAAUGCGCAGAUAUCAGGAGGAACACCGAUGGCGAAGGCAGAUCUCUGGGCCGUUACUGACGCUGAGGAGCGAAAGGGUGGGGAGCAAACAGGCUUAGAUACCCUGGUAGUCCACCCCGUAAACGUUGGGAACUAGUUGUGGGGUCCAUUCCACGGAUUCCGUGACGCAGCUAACGCAUUAAGUUCCCCGCCUGGGGAGUACGGCCGCAAGGCUAAAACUCAAAGAU
This 534-nucleotide ribosomal RNA is filed under the name Microbacterium sp. HB3. RNAcentral describes it as "bacterial SSU rRNA". It matches the Rfam family "Bacterial small subunit ribosomal RNA", at positions 359 to 908 of the family's 1533-position model. Lineage: Bacteria; Bacillati; Actinomycetota; Actinomycetes; Micrococcales; Microbacteriaceae. The record is from RNAcentral.